UCCCGCCAGGUCUCUGGCUCUCUCUCGCUGUAAGUCUCUGUCCUCCUGAAUCUCUGGUCUCCCACUGAGGCUUGGCUUCAUUGUUUCUGCGUGGCUGGCGGACCCGCAGCCCCUGAGUGGGAGCCCUAGCCCCGCCCUGCCCUCCUCCCGCUGGCCCUGCCCCCUACGUGGCCACGCCCCUCACGCCUUCUGCUCCCUUUCCUCCCUCCCUCCCUCUGUUGGCCAAGGCUUUGAGGUCCUCUAGCUUCCAGUUGAGUUGAAUCCUCGCGGGCGAGGCGUGGCCAAUCAGGCCGCGAGGCGGCUCAACGUCCGCCCCCGGGGUCUCCGCGCGGGCUAAGGGUUGGCAGCCGCGUAGAACGAGAGAAAGCAGAAAUCCUUGGAGCCAAACGGACAGCCAAUCAGGAAGCUCGAGGCCUAGGUGACGUCACGAGUUGCUGAGCGGUUCCAAGGGCCACGCGCCACCUGGCGCCUCGCGCCGCAGUCUAACGGCCUCAGCGCAUGCGGUGCUGGCACUAGUCAUAAGAGGCAGGAAGGGAGAGUUCCUUUGAGCCGAGGAACGGUUAGCCAAUCACGCAGCUCACUUUCUGGAUGACGUCACCAGUUGUUGAGUGAAGCGGGACCACUUGUCUCUGAGCUUCUGUCUCGACUUCCGAAUGCUUGCCAAGAGGAAGGUGUGUGUGGGAGGUGUUGGAAAGAGAGUGGAAAUCCUAUGGUCCGGAGCAUGUUCGCCAAUCGAAACUCGUAGAGCUCCAUGACGUCACUGGUCGCCAAGCAGAUCCAAUGUCCGGGCUCCAGCAAGCGCGAACGGAAGGAAACCGAGGCCGUCUGUGUUCUGGAGUCCCUUCCAACUCUAACAGUCUCUAAGUCUGUGACUGAGAGCCGCCAAAAUCAGGCUGUGGUUGAACAUUCACCUGCCUGAUUUCUUUCUUCCUCAGCCCAGCCUCCCAGGCUUCCUCCAAAUGGGUCUGGGACUCCUGUUUCCUAUGCUUCCACUAGAAAAUCUGCUUUGUUAGUCACAUAUCUACUCAGGCUUUUGGAUACAUCUACACCACUUUGCCCCUUGUUAGCUAUUGAACAGUUAAUUUCCAAUUGCUGAUUCCCUUUCUCAGGUCUGUGCUUGAGGCUGAGCACAGCUAGAUUUCUGCAUUCCUGCCAGAUGUGAGCCUCUACAGCACUUUUGACUUCUCAGAGAGCUUCCGUGGACAAUUCUUAUUGUAUUUGGUCCCCAGGGCAGCUCUGGGAGGGGUCGAGGGCAAGUGCCCUUAGCUCUGUUUUACAGGGGAAGGGACGGGGGCCCCAGUGUCAUACAGCUAGUUGGUUCAAGGGGUUCAAUGACCGACUACUCAGAGGAGAAUUUGUUUCAUGCCAGACUAGAUCCUCUCCAUAAUUCUGAGAUAGUGAAAAUCUCAGUCACACAGCUAGUAUGGCAAUGUGAACCCAAAUCUUCUGACUCCAGGUCUUGAUGAAAAUUCCAUGAUUCUUAGUGCAGCAUUCUCCCUCCCCAAGAAUCAUGGAGCCUCAGUGGGAAAGGACAUGUGAGGCAGAUGAUUGGAUCAUAAGAUUGAGGGAAGGAAGGAACCUUUGAAAUUGUUGAGAUCAACCCUUUUAUUUUUAUAAAUGAAGAAAGGGGCCCAGACAGGUGCAAGGAUGUGUCUAAGAUCACAUGGUCUGUCACGGGGAGCCAGGAUUUAAGGGCUCUUCCCACUGGAUUGCGUCUUAUGUGACUUCCCCUCUGAUACAACAUGCAAUCCCAGGAUCUCUACCAGAAAAAAACUUUUCCUCCGCGUGGGGGGAAAUUGGAGCCACAAUUAUUUUGUGACAUCUUGAUAGACGGUGACCUAGCAUUAGAAAGUCCCCAACCCCUUUUCGAGGACCUGGUAAGAGAGGAUGGUGUCAUUCACUAUGG
Molecule: long non-coding RNA, 1906 nt
Organism: Phascolarctos cinereus (koala)
Lineage: Eukaryota; Metazoa; Chordata; Mammalia; Diprotodontia; Phascolarctidae
Source: RefSeq, a predicted model, not a curated record